CUGAGGCCGACAGGCGUAGGCGAUGGAUAACAGGUUGAUAUUCCUGUACCACCUAGUAUCGUUUUAAUCGAUGGGGGGACGCAGUAGGAUAGGCGAAGCGUGCUGUUGGAGUGCACGUCCAAGCAGUAAGGCUGAGUGUUAGGCAAAUCCGGCACUCAUAAGGCUGAGCUGUGAUGGGGAGAGGAAAUUGUUUCCUCGAGUCGUUGAUUUCACACUGCCGAGAAAAGCCUCUAGAUAGAUAACAGGUGCCCGUACCGCAAACCGACACAGGUAGUCAAGAUGAGAAUUCUAAGGUGAGCGAGCGAACUCUCGUUAAGGAACUCGGCAAAAUGACCCCGUAACUUCGGGAGAAGGGGUGCUCUUUAGGGUUCACGCCCAGAAGAGCCGCAGUGAAUAGGCCCAAGCGACUGUUUAUCAAAAACACAGGUCUCUGCUAAACCGUAAGGUGAUGUAUAGGGGCUGACGCCUGCCCGGUGCUGGAAGGUUAAGAGGAGUGGUUAGCUUCUGCGAAGCUACGAAUCGAAGCCCCAGUAAACGGCGGCCGUAACUAUAACGGUCCUAAGGUAGCGAAAUUCCUUGUCGGGUAAGUUCCGACCCGCACGAAAGGCGUAACGAUUUGGGCACUGUCUCAACGAGAGACUCGGUGAAAUCAUAGUACCUGUGAAGAUGCAGGUUACCCGCGACAGGACGGAAAGACCCCGUGGAGCUUUACUGUAGCCUGAUAUUGAAAUUCGGCACAGCUUGUACAGGAUAGGUAGGAGCCUUUGAAACGUGAGCGCUAGCUUACGUGGAGGCGUUGGUGGGAUACUACCCUAGCUGUGUUGGCUUUCUAACCCGCACCACUUAUCGUGGUGGGAGACAGUGUCAGGCGGGCAGUUUGACUGGGGCGGUCGCCUCCUAAAAGGUAACGGAGGCGCUCAAAGGUUCCCUCAGAAUGGUUGGAAAUCAUUCAUAGAGUGUAAAGGCAUAAGGGAGCUUGACUGCGAGACCUACAAGUCGAGCAGGGUCGAAAGACGGACUUAGUGAUCCGGUGGUUCCGCAUGGAAGGGCCAUCGCUCAACGGAUAAAAGCUACCCCGGGGAUAACAGGCUUAUCUCCCCCAAGAGUUCACAUCGACGGGGAGGUUUGGCACCUCGAUGUCGGCUCAUCGCAUCCUGGGGCUGUAGUCGGUCCCAAGGGUUGGGCUGUUCGCCCAUUAAAGCGGUACGCGAGCUGGGUUCAGAACGUCGUGAGACAGUUCGGUCCCUAUCCGUCGUGGGCGUAGGAAAUUUGAGAGGAGCUGUCCUUAGUACGAGAGGACCGGGAUGGACAUACCUCUGGUGUACCAGUUGUCGUGCCAACGGCAUAGCUGGGUAGCUAUGUAUGGACGGGAUAAGUGCUGAAAGCAUCUAAGCAUGAAGCCCCCCUCAAGAUGAGAUUUCCCAACUUCGGUUAUAAGAUCCCUCGAAGAUGACGAGGUUAAUAGGUUCGAGGUGGAAGCGUGGUGACACGUGGAGCUGACGAAUACUAAUCGAUCGAAGACUUAAUC
RNAcentral lists this ribosomal RNA (1528 nucleotides) under human gut metagenome. Its description in RNAcentral is "bacterial LSU rRNA". It matches the Rfam family "Bacterial large subunit ribosomal RNA", at positions 1396 to 2925 of the family's 2925-position model. The record is from RNAcentral.